CGUGCCAUAUGAUGAAAUAAUGUAAAGGAGGCCGUGAAAAACACUCCAGAAAGGUUUUCUUUGAAAAAAAAAUCAUCAUGAAUUUUGGCGCAAAAAAAACGCCAUAGUAUACUAUGUCGAAAAAAAUUUGCGAUUUUCCAACAUGUUGUAAAAACGAGCCAUAUGAUGAACGAAUGUAAAGGAGGCUGUGAAAAACACUCCAGAAAGGUUUUCUUUGAAAAAAAAAAUCAUCAUGAAUUUUGGCGCAAAAAAACGCCAUAGUAUACU
Amphiprion ocellaris (clown anemonefish) is the source of this 267-nucleotide long non-coding RNA. The record is from Ensembl. Lineage: Eukaryota; Metazoa; Chordata; Actinopteri; Pomacentridae.